UGUGGGGCUGUGGGGCUGGAUAUGGGGCGCCCCAUAGAUGUGUGGGGUGGAAUCUGGGGGUCUGAGCGCCCCAUAGAUGUGUGGGGCGGAAUUUGGGGCGCUCAGAAUUUGGGGGGCGUGGGGUUGUGGGGUGCCCUAUAGAUUUGUAGGGUGGGACGGAUGCUGUGGGUUGCAGCACCCCACACAUCUGUGGGGCAGGAGUCUCUAUGGGGCAGCACUUGGGGGCCUCAAAACCCCACGUCUAUGGGGCAGCAUUUGGGGUCUCUAUGGGGCAGCACUUGGGGGCCUCAAAACCCCACACAUCUAUGGGGCAGCAUUUGGGGUCUCUAUGGGGCAGAACUUGGGGGUCUCAUCCCCCACAAAUCUAUGGGGCAGGAUUUGGGGUCUCUAUGGGGCAGCACUUGGGGGUCUCAGGCCCCCCCACAAAUCUAUGGGGCAGGAUUUGGUUCCACACCCUCUUCCUCACCCCCCCUCCUUAUUCCCCAACCCCCACCCCACUUCCGCCUAAAGCCCCGCCCCUUCCGGUCCCUCCCAGCCACCAUGAAAGCCCACCGCUGGUGAUCUAUUCCCCUCCUCCAUGCCCCGCUUCCGGCCCAAGCCCCGCCUCUUCCGGUCCCACCCAGCCACCACGAAACCCCACCGCUUGUGAUCUCUCUAUCCCCCCCCCUGCCAGGCCCCGCUUCCGGCCCAAGCCCCGCCCCUUCCGGUUCCGCCCGCCGAUGCUCCCCUCGCACGGCGCCGCCCCGCAAUGGCCGCGGCUUUUGCUGCUCUGGGCUCGGCGCUGCGCGGUGCGGGCGGCGCUGUGCGGGGCGGGGGCGGCGCUGCUGCUGUGGGCCGCGGCCUUCGCUUACGGCGGAUUCUACUUCCUUACCGUGCCUGCCGCCGGGCUGGUUGCUCCGGUGCACUUCCGCUUCCGGUAGGCGCUGCGGGGGGAGUUACUUCCGGUUUUAGGGGUUUAAAGACUUCCGGUCGGGGUGGGAGCCAAUGGGUGCUUUGGUAUCGUGGUACUUCCGGUUUGGGGAUCGGGGGGCUUCCGGAUGGGGUUUGUUGGGCUUCCGGUGGGAGGAUUGGGAACUUCCGGCAGAGGGGUUGGGAGGAUUUCGGUGGAGGAAUCGUAG
RNAcentral lists this long non-coding RNA (1118 nucleotides) under Phasianus colchicus (ring-necked pheasant). Its description in RNAcentral is "lncRNA (ENSPCLG00000018894.1)". Lineage: Eukaryota; Metazoa; Chordata; Aves; Galliformes; Phasianidae. The record is from RNAcentral.